GGAAGAUAUCUAGGGCGCACGGCGGAUGCCUUGGCACAUGGAGCCGAUGAAGGACGCGGCAAGCUGCGAUAAUCCGCGGUUAGGGGCACACACCCUUCGACCCGCGGGUCUCCGAAUGGGCGAACCCGCCAGGAGAAGUCCUGGCAUCCCCCGACUGAACACAUAGGUCGGGGGAGGACAACCCGGGGAACUGAAACAUCUAAGUACCCGGAGGAGAAGAAAUCAACCUCGAGAUUCCCCGAGUAGCGGCGAGCGAAAGGGGACCUAGGCCAAACCGUGGAGCGGGCGGGCGCCAGCCCUUACCGCCCACGGGGUUGUAGGGCCUCCCGCCCGGGAGCUGGCGCUCCCGGCGGGCAUCCAUCCAGGGGAGCCGAACGGCAUGGGAAGGCCGGCGGCACAGGGUUAGGGCCCCGUAGGCGCACCCUGGGAUGGAGCCCGGUGGAGGUACCUGAGUAGGGCCGGGCACGUGAAACCCGGUCCGAACCCGGGGGGACCACCCUCCAAGCCUGAAUACUCCCAUGUGACCGAUAGCGCACCAGUACCGUGAGGGAAAGGUGAAAAGCACCCCGGGAGGGGAGUGAAACAGUACCUGAAACCGUGCGCCCGCAAGGCGUCGGAGCGGGCUUCGUCCCGUGACGGCGUGCCUUUUGUAGAAUGAGCCAGCGAGUUGCUGGCACGCGGCGAGGUUAAGCUGGGAAGCGAGCCGGAGCGAAAGCGAGUCCGAAACGGGCGAUUCCAGUCGCGUGCCGCAGACGCGAAGCCGGGUGAGCUAUCCCUGGGCAGGCUGAAGCGGGGGUAAGACCCCGUGGAGGGCCGAACGGACGUACGUUGAAAAGUGCGCCGAUGACCUGGGGAUAGGGGUGAAAGGCCUAUCAAACCCGGAGAUAUCUCGUUCUCCCCGAAAUAGCUUUAGGGCUAGCGUCGAGAGUUAACCGCCGGAGGUAGAGCACCGGAUCGAUGAGGGGGCUUCGCCGCCUACCGAUUCGAACCGAACUCCGAAUGCCGGUCGGUCCAUAUCUCGGCAGUCAGAGCAUGUGGGCUAAGCUGUGUGCUCGAGAGGGAAACAGCCCAGACCGCCCGCUAAGGCCCCCAAUUCUCAGUUAAGUGGCAAAGGAUGUGCGUCCGCGCAGACAACCAGGAGGUUGGCUUAGAAGCAGCCACCCCUUCAAAGAGUGCGUAACAGCUCACUGGUCGAGUGGACAUGCGCCGACAAUACACGGGGCUAAACUGAGAGCCGAAGCGGCGGCAAUGAGAUUUCAUUGGGUAGGGGAGCGUCCCCAGCGGGGCGAAGCCGGAGGGUCACCGACGGUGGACUGCUGGGGAGUGAGAAUGCUGGCAUGAGUAGCGAGAGACGAGAGAGUAACUCGUCCGCCGUAAACCCGAGGUUUCCUGGGCGAGGCUAAUCCUCCCAGGGUCAGUCGGGGGCUAAGCCGAGGGCGGAAGCCGUAGGCGACGCGCAGCAGGUGGACAUUCCUGCACCGGAGAUGCACCGUCACGACCGACGGGGCGACGGAUUGGGGUGGCUCGGCGGGGUUCUGGACGUCCCCGUGAUGGAGCGCGGCCCGGAGACCAGGCAAAUCCGGUCUCCACGAGGGCGAGGCUCCGGACGAAGCGCUUGAGCGAAGCGAGUGAGCCCGUGGUCCCCAGAAAAACCCCUAGGCAGGGGCAUCUCCGCCCGUACCGCAAACCGACACAGGUGGGUGGGUAGAACAUACCGAGGCGAUCGGGUCAACCAUGGUCAAGGAACUCGGCAAAAUGGCCCCGUAACUUCGGGAGAAGGGGCGCCGGCGCGUACGUGGAGGGACUAGCUCCCCGAGCGGAGGCCGGCCGCAGUGAAGAGGCCCAAUCGACUGUUUACCAAAAACACAGGACUCUGCAGAAGGCGAGAGCCGACGUAUAGGGUCUGACGCCUGCCCGGUGCCGGAAGGUCACGCGGAGGGGUCAGCGCGAGCGAAGCCCCGAAGCCAAGCCCCGGUAAACGGCGGCCGUAACUAUAACGGUCCUAAGGUAGCGAAAUUCCUUGUCGGG
This 2028-nucleotide ribosomal RNA is filed under the name human gut metagenome. RNAcentral's name for it is "bacterial LSU rRNA". It matches the Rfam family "Bacterial large subunit ribosomal RNA", at positions 1 to 1976 of the family's 2925-position model. The record is from RNAcentral.